AGCUCCAAUAGCGUAUAUUAAAGUUGUUGCAGUUAAAAAGCUCGUAGUUGGACUUGUGCACGUCCUUGAUGUCCUUUUUGGUACGUUUGGGGAUGUGCAUCCUUGGGUGGAACCUGUGUGGCAUUAGGUUGUCGUGCAGGGGAUGCUCAUCGUUUACUGUGAAAAAAUUAGAGUGUUCAAAGCAGGCUUACGCCGUUGAAUAUAUUAGCAUGGAAUAAUAAGAUAGGACCUUGGUACUAUUUUGUUGGUUUGCGCACCGAGGUAAUGAUUAACAGGGACGGUUGGGGGUAUUCGUAUUCCAUUGUCAGAGGUGAAAUUCUUGGAUUUUUGGAAGACGAACUACUGCGAAAGCAUUUACCAAGGAUGUUU
Molecule: ribosomal RNA, 369 nt
Filed under: uncultured eukaryote
Lineage: Eukaryota
Description: SSU rRNA
Rfam family: Eukaryotic small subunit ribosomal RNA
Source: RNAcentral